Molecule: ribosomal RNA, 476 nt
Filed under: uncultured anaerobic ammonium-oxidizing bacterium
Lineage: Bacteria
Description: bacterial SSU rRNA
Rfam family: Bacterial small subunit ribosomal RNA
Source: RNAcentral
UUCGCAAUGCCCGAAAGGGUGACACAGCAACGCCGCGUGGGGGACGAAGGCCUUCGGGUCGUAAACCCCUGUGAGGUGGGAAGAACAGCGGAGGUGCAAAUAGCGCUUUCGCCUGACGUUACCACCAGAGGAAGCACUGGCUAACUCCGUGCCAGCAGCUGCGGUAAUACGGAGAGUGCAAGCGUUGUUCGGAUUUACUGGGCGUAAAGGGCGCGUAGGCGGCCCGUUAAGUUCGGGGUGGAAUCCCAUUGCUCACCAGUGGAAUUGCCUCGGAUACUGGCGGGCUUGAGCAUGUGAGAGGUCAGUGGAACUCUGGGUGGAGCGGUGAAAUGCGUAGAUAUCCAGAGGAACACCGGAGGCGAAGGCGACUGACUGGCGCAUUGCUGACGCUGAGGCGCGAAAGCCAGGGGAGCAAACGGGAUUAGAUACCCCGGUAGUCCUAGCCGUAAACGAUGGGCACUAAGUAGAGGGGUUUU